This 359-nucleotide ribosomal RNA is filed under the name Rhodella violacea. Its description in RNAcentral is "partial Bacterial large subunit ribosomal RNA". It matches the Rfam family "Bacterial large subunit ribosomal RNA", at positions 316 to 687 of the family's 2925-position model. The record is from RNAcentral. Lineage: Eukaryota; Rhodophyta; Rhodellophyceae; Rhodellales; Rhodellaceae.
AUUCAACUAGCAGAACACUUUGGAAAGAGUGGCCAUAGCGGGUGAUAGCCCCGUAUGCGAAAGUGAUGUCGAAGGACUCGAGUAGGGCGGGACACGUGAAAUCCUGUCUGAACAUGGGGGGACCACCCUCCAAGCCUAAAUACUCGUAUGCGACCGAUAGCGAACAAGUACCGUGAGGGAAAGGUGAAAAGCACCCCGACGAGGGGAGUGAAACAGUUCCUGAAACCGGAUGCUUACAAACAGUGGGAGCUCAAGGUUCGUCCUGGGUGACCGCGUACCUUUUGUAUAAUGGGUCAGCGACUUAAAGUUACGAGCAAGCUUAAGCCGGUAGGUGUAGGCGCAGCGAAAGCGAGUCUGAA